This 253-nucleotide ribosomal RNA is filed under the name uncultured bacterium. Its description in RNAcentral is "partial 16S ribosomal RNA". It matches the Rfam family "Bacterial small subunit ribosomal RNA", at positions 524 to 776 of the family's 1533-position model. The record is from RNAcentral.
UACGGAGGGUGCAAGCGUUGUCCGGAAUUAUUGGGCGUAAAGAGCUCGUAGGCGGUUUGUCGCGUCGGCUGUGAAAUCCUCCGGCUCAACUGGAGGUCUGCAGUCGAUACGGGCAGACUAGAGUGCUGUAGGGGAGACUGGAAUUCCUGGUGUAGCGGUGAAAUGCGCAGAUAUCAGGAGGAACACCGGUGGCGAAGGCGGGUCUCUGGGCCGAUAUUGACGCUGAGGAGCGAAAGCGUGGGGAGCAAACAGG